CUGGCUAUGACGGUAACUGACACUCAGUAGGUCUUCCCUCAAUAUUUGUUGAGUGAAUAGAUGAAAGUACAGUGGGGAAAGGAAGCAGGGCAUAAACACAAAAACGGAUAAUAAUAGAGGUGGUGUUAAUGACAUUGAGGCCAAAAUAGAAAAUUUGAUUCUAGUGGAUGGUUUAUCGCAUGAUACAUAUAAUGGGUUAUGAACUGGAAAUCAGAGGGUGUGAAUUUGCUUUUAUUAUAGUAGGAGAGAGGAGCUGAUGAGCAUUAGAAAAUAAUGAAAAUGAGUCAUUUUCUUACAAAAUAUUAUCUUUCAGAUAAUAUAGCAUCAUCAGAGUCUUUGGAUUUAGAGCCAAAAGAGCCUUAUAUGCCAUCUAAUUAAAUGUCUUAUUUCUAAUGUGUAUGGGGAGAUUUUCUGGAAAAUUACCUAUAUGUGACCUAAAGUUUUUGGAAAUGCCGUGUAAGAAGUUUUUCUUUUCAUGGGAACUGGAAGGGAUAAAAAUCUGAUUGCUUUUCUUCAGCAAAGCAUACCAGCGUCCCCAUUAGGCAAGUGAUUAUGCAGUGUUGAAAGGUAUUUUCUUGAGAAUGUUAUUUUUUUCCUUUUCAUUAAUUAUGCUUUGUCUAAAGGUUCUUUGUCAAAGCUCUGGCUAGUACUUGAAAUUGUAAUUGAUAGGGAAUAAAAGAAAGUAAAAUCUUUGAUCUCUCUCUCGGUGUUAUGCAAUAUCUUUAUUCUUGAGAUCAAAAGACUCCGAGUAUAAUGCUGACCAAACAGAGGCUACAGUACUGAUUUUGACAGAGACCAAGGACAACAGCUAUGAAAGUUAACGGCUAUAUAGGCAUGAAAUGACAAAAUCAAAACAAACAAAACUGUGAGAGUGCCUCUAUGCUAAACAUCCUUGCAUCCUUACAUAACAUAAACAGACACAUUAAAAUAAUAAAUUCAUAAAAUAGGUACACAAUAUUAUCCAUAAUAUGGAUCUAUGAUAGGUCCAUAAAUAAUAUUGUUCAGGAGAAGAGGUAUUGCUCUUCUAGGAGAAACUAUAGGACAAGCAUAUUUCCAGGAAGGCAUCAAAAUAAACAUUUAUUACAGAAAAUCCUGAAGGAAUAGCUUGUACCUAUUCUUACAGUUGAAGGCUUCUAGGGAAAACUGGUAUCUAGAACACAUAGAGUUCCUUAUUUCAUAAUAAAUGCAUCAUUUAUUAACAUUGCUCCAUUCCCUGUAUCACUUGACCCUAAGAGCAAUUAUGAAGUUAAUAAAGUUUAUCUUUGAUGUAAUGGACAUCCCUUUCUAUUCUCCCCAGAUUCUUUUUGUCUCAAGUAUUUAUUUCUCGUCAUAUGGCCUAAAGACAUUUCUCUUAUAAGGACUGUGCAUUGGUAAACUAACUCUCAGAAGACUUAAAGUGACAUCAUGCUUUGCCACUCUGGGAAUUAUUUGAAUUUAAAAUACCCUUAAAAAGAUAACAAGGCUUGGGCAUGAUGGUGGGUGCCUGUAAUCCCAGGUACUUGGGAGGCUGAGGUGGGAGAUUUGCUUGAACCCAGGAGGGGGAGGUUGCAGUGAGCUGAGAUGGAACGAUUACACUUCAGCCUGGAUGACAGAGAGACUCUGUCUCAAAAGCAAAGCAAAACAAAACAAAACAAAAGAAAAAGAGUAAGGCUUAACCUAAGAGGUCUGAAACCUAAGUAGGGAGAGUUAUCAUGGGGUAUUGUAACCAAUGGUGCUCUCAUUCAGUUAAGACCAUGAAGGUACAUAAAUAGACACAUCAUCGGUGGUAGUUUUGCUGUGUGAUUCCUAGCCACUCUCACAAAAGCUUCCCCUGUGUCUCCUGUUUAAAUUGAAAUUAGCAGUAUCUGGUACUUUUCUCUAGACGUAGUAGAAAUACUUAGAUGGCAGAGGAUUUCUACUUCCUUUCAGUAUUACAUUGAUUCCUGACAUCUUUCAGUCAGGGUUCUUUGAUUAAAGUUGAAUCAUCUAUCAUUUUAUUCUAUUUUUAAUUGCUUUGCUUUUUCUAAUAAAUAUAUAUUCCCCUCUUUUAAUGAUAUCAUGAACUUUGAAAAUGUUUCUUCCUUUGUCCUUCCAAAA
Molecule: long non-coding RNA, 2076 nt
Filed under: Homo sapiens (human)
Lineage: Eukaryota; Metazoa; Chordata; Mammalia; Primates; Hominidae
Description: HSALNT0343962
Source: RNAcentral